RNAcentral lists this ribosomal RNA (269 nucleotides) under uncultured prokaryote. RNAcentral describes it as "partial 16S ribosomal RNA". It matches the Rfam family "Bacterial small subunit ribosomal RNA", at positions 524 to 792 of the family's 1533-position model. The record is from RNAcentral.
AACGUAGGGGGCUAGCGUUGUCCGGAAUUACUGGGCGUAAAGGGCACGCAGGCGGUCUGUAAAGCGGUGGGUGCAAUCUCGAGGCUCAACCUCGAAACUGCUUGCCGAACUGGCAGACUAGAGCACGGGAGAGGACAGUGGAAUUCCCGGUGUAGCGGUGGAAUGCGUAGAUAUCGGGAGGAACACCAGUGGCGAAGGCGGCUUCCUGGCACAAUACUGACGCUCAUGUGCGAAAGCUAGGGCAGCGAACGGGAUUAGAUACCCCCGUA